This 796-nucleotide long non-coding RNA is filed under the name Fukomys damarensis (Damara mole-rat). Its description in RNAcentral is "lncRNA (ENSFDAG00000029335.1)". The record is from RNAcentral. Lineage: Eukaryota; Metazoa; Chordata; Mammalia; Rodentia; Bathyergidae.
AUCAUGAUCAAUACUUUUCUCUGCAUUCCAUUUUGCCAUAAGAAUCCUGGCAGCUGAGAGCCGGGUUCCGGUUCUGGCUGUGUACUUGCUCCAUCGAAAAAAACACAGUGAAUGCCGCUGCUGAGUGUCAUCCCUGGAAAGAGGGAUCAUCAGUAUGAGAAGCGUCGCACUGAACCUCAGUGAGUGACAAGUUCAAUUCGUUGGGUGCAGUCGGCUGUGAGCUACAGGUGAGAGGUGUGUGCUGUAAACCAUGGAUUACAAACAACGCAUCAAUAUGAAAUUUUGUUUCAAACUGCAAAAAAGUACUAAAGAAACACACGAACCGUUAAAAGCAGUUUAUGGUGACGCUGCGGUGACCAGGAACUGUUGACAAGUGGUUUGAGAGGUUCCACAGUGGCUGUGAGUCGGUUGAAGACGAGAGAUCCGGACGACCUUCAUCAUCAAAAAUCCAAGAGAACGUUGAAAGACUAAAUGUUUGUUUUGGGAGAGUGGCUGCAAAGACUCAAAUCCUCAGCUGCACUUGUCAUCUUGCUGUCAGAGAUGCUGCAAUAUCCCUGAUCGUUGAGUUCUCUAUUGUGACCAUUGGCACAGGGAGUUCUGUUUCUGUAUGCCAGCAGAAGACUCAUCCACCCAGUCACAUAGGCCUAAGACUGACUCAUAAUUUAAUCAGUAACCAAUUUGUAAGCCAAUUCAAUAACACUUUAUAGCCCGCCUAGCAGUUUCAAGAUGGUCUCCUGCACUGGACAAAUUAGCAAGACUCUGUCUUAAAAUAAAACAUAGCUGGGCAUGGUAGCGC